RNAcentral lists this ribosomal RNA (303 nucleotides) under uncultured bacterium. RNAcentral's name for it is "bacterial SSU rRNA". It matches the Rfam family "Bacterial small subunit ribosomal RNA", at positions 28 to 334 of the family's 1533-position model. The record is from RNAcentral.
GACGAACGCUGGCGGCGUGCCUAAUACAUGCAAGUCGUGCGGACUUAUCUUCGGAUAAGUUAGCGGCGGACGGGUGAGUAACACGUGGGCAACCUGCCUGUAAGACCGGGAUAACUCCGGGAAACCGGAGCUAAUACCGGAUACAAUCCCAGACCGCAUGGUCUGGGAUGGAAAGGUCAUGAACCACUUACAGAUGGGCCCGCGGCGCAUUAGCUAGUUGGUAGGGUAACGGCCUACCAAGGCGACGAUGCGUAGCCGACCUGAGAGGGUGAUCGGCCACACUGGGACUGAGACACGGCCCAG